GAUGAACGCUAGCGGCAGGCCUAACACAUGCAAGUCGAGGGGCAGCACAGAAACAGCAAUGUUUUGGUGGCGACCGGCGGACGGGUGCGUAACGCGUAUGCAACCUACCUUUAACAGGGGGAUAACGGAGAGAAAUUUCCACUAAUACCCCAUAACAGCGAUCAAGGCAUCUUGAUUGGUUGAAAACUCCGGUGGUUAAAGAUGGGCAUGCGUUGUGUUAGGUAGUUGGUGAGGUAAUGGCUCACCAAGCCUACGAUACAUAGGGGGACUGAGAGGUUAGCCCCCCACACUGGUAAUGAGACACGGACCAGACUGCUACGGGAGGCAGCCUUGAGGAAUAUUGGUCAAUGGGGGCAACCCUGCACCAGCCAUGCCGCGUGCAGGAAGACGGCUCUAUGAGUUGUCCCCUGCUUUUAAACAGGGAUAAGGCCCCUUAUGUAUACUGUGUUGAAGGUACUGUAAGAAUAAGGAUCGGCUAACUCCGUGCCAGCCGCCGCCGUAA
RNAcentral lists this ribosomal RNA (502 nucleotides) under uncultured bacterium. RNAcentral's name for it is "partial 16S ribosomal RNA". It matches the Rfam family "Bacterial small subunit ribosomal RNA", at positions 28 to 523 of the family's 1533-position model. The record is from RNAcentral.